GACGAACGCUGGCGGCGUGCUUAACACAUGCAAGUCGAACGAAAAGACGGAAAGAGCUUGCUCUUUUCAGAAUUGAGUGGCAAACGGGUGAGUAACACGUAAACAACCUGCCUUCAGGAUGGGGACAACAGACGGAAACGACUGCUAAUACCGAAUAAGUUCCAAGAGCCGCAUGGCCCAUGGAAGAAAAGGUGGCCUCUACCUGUAAGCUAUCGCCUGAAGAGGGGUUUGCGUCUGAUUAGCUGGUUUGGAGGGGUAACGGCCCACCAAGGCGACGAUCAGUAGCCGGUCUGAGAGGAUGAACGGCCACACUGGAACUGAGACACGGUCCAGACUCCUACGGGAGGCAGCAGUGGGGAAUUCUUUCCGCAAUGGGCGAAAAGCCUGACGGA
This 392-nucleotide ribosomal RNA is filed under the name Dialister invisus. Its description in RNAcentral is "bacterial SSU rRNA". It matches the Rfam family "Bacterial small subunit ribosomal RNA", at positions 28 to 390 of the family's 1533-position model. Lineage: Bacteria; Bacillati; Bacillota; Negativicutes; Veillonellales; Veillonellaceae. The record is from RNAcentral.